Molecule: long non-coding RNA, 796 nt
Filed under: Mus musculus (house mouse)
Lineage: Eukaryota; Metazoa; Chordata; Mammalia; Rodentia; Muridae
Description: RIKEN cDNA 2700054A10 gene
Source: RNAcentral
AAGCGAGAGACUGAAGAUUGCUGAAUAAACUGCUGUUGAGAAGGACUGGUGGUCAUGUCGUUCUUGCUAGUCGAGAGCAGACACAACAAUUGGUGGCCCACAUGGGGAACCGUCUCCCCCACCAACAAGUUCAGAACUUUCAGCAGUCAGUGUUUGCCAGCAGGGUAAGUUCAUGAGUUUUUCUAUAUAGCCUUGGCUUUCCUGGAACAUGCUCUGUAGCAUUUUCAAGGCAGGCCUCGAACCCACAGAGAUCUGCCCACCUCUGAGUCUUGACUUUCAAUAACUGGAUGAGUGGAGACAAAGGCUCCUCCAUUCUUUAGCUUCAAGACAUAUCACAGACUGAGCCUUUGUUCUCUAGGCUCAAGGUGCUCCAGUGAGUGAGACAGCGAGCGAAAAAGAGGCUCCAGAAGGCCUACUCAAGAGAAGAAGACCUGCUACAUUAGACGUCUCCACGCAGAAAACCUUGAGACUCCAGUGGAAAGGCCCUUAUCUUGUAUUCUUGACGACCCUACUUUCUACCUUUAUGGGACCCCUUUUGAUUUUGCUUCUGCUUUUAAUUAUAGGUCCAUGUGUGUUAAAUAGGCAAGUCACCUUUAUUAGAACAAAAAUGAGUGCAUUAGACAUGUAAGUAUACAUACUUGGAUGCAUGUAUAUACAUAUAGACGUUAUUCACUCCGCCAGCUUUACUGUCUUCCGCUUUUGUUUAAAAAAAAACUUGGACAUUUAUCAACAGUGAUGAUAUAUAUUCUAUAAUUAACUUCAAUACUUUUAUCCUGAAUAUGAAUAUGGAACCAAC